Molecule: non-coding RNA, 114 nt
Organism: Acanthosepion pharaonis
Lineage: Eukaryota; Metazoa; Mollusca; Cephalopoda; Sepiida; Sepiidae
Source: the annotation of a GenBank genome assembly
UUACGGCCACAUCACACUGAAACGCCGGUUCCUGUACGAUCACCGAAGUUAAGCAACGUCAAGCCUAGUCAGUACCUAGAUGGGAGACUGCUUGGGAAAUCCAGGUGCUGUAAG